This 419-nucleotide ribosomal RNA is filed under the name uncultured bacterium. Its description in RNAcentral is "bacterial SSU rRNA". It matches the Rfam family "Bacterial small subunit ribosomal RNA", at positions 355 to 766 of the family's 1533-position model. The record is from RNAcentral.
UGGGGAAUUUUGGACAAUGGGGGCAACCCUGAUCCAGCAAUGCCGCGUGCAGGAAGAAGGCCUUCGGGUUGUAAACUGCUUUUGUACGGAACGAAAAGGCUCUGGUUAAUACCUGGGGCACAUGACGGUACCGUAAGAAUAAGCACCGGCUAACUACGUGCCAGCCGCCGCGGUAAUACGUAGGGUGCAAGCGUUAAUCGGAAUUACUGGGCGUAAAGCGUGCGCAGGCGGUGCUGUAAGACAGGCGUGAAAUCCCCGGGCUUAACCUGGGAAUGGCGCUUGUGACUGCAGUGCUGGAGGGUGGCAGAGGCGGAUGGAAUUCCGCGUGUAGCAGUGAAAUGCGUAGAUAUGCGGAGGAACACCGAUGGCGAAGGCAAUCCCCUGGGCCUGCACUGACGCUCAUGCACGAAAGCGUGGGG